AGUGAAGAGUCAGACGCUGUUCUUCUGAAGUUUCACAACUUUUCUGCAUCAGGAUUAAAGUCAGAAUGAAAAUCCUCCAUUUUCUCUUCUUCUGCUUCUUGUCAGGUCCAGCUGGGCUCGUCAAGGCAAAACAUAAUAUUUGGUCUGCAGCUGAAGGACUAAAUGCUACACUUAACUGCAACUUACCUUUGUCUGGAACCACAAAGUUCUUCUGUAAGGAAAAAUGUGAGCGAGAUGAAGAUAUCCUCAUUAAAACAGAUGGAAGCACAGCUCAGAGUGGGAGAUACAGCAUGAAGUAUAAAAAUGGAGCUUCAGGAAGAGGAAUUGUGUUUUUGACCUUCUCACAAAUGAUCAAGUCUGACUCAGGAAUGUACAGGUGUGCUUUGGGAAGACCUUCUGCUCCAGAUUCAUACUCAGACUUCGAGAUGAGAGUUUCAAAGGAUCUAGAUAAAAACGUUGGUUUUUAUCGCACACAAACUGAGGGCGAAAAGAUCACAUUGGUAUUUUCCAACAACACGUAUGGACACAGGAAGUUCUUUUGUAAGAAUCAGUGUAAGAAUGAAGGGGAGAUCCUCAUUGACACAACUAAUAACAAAUCUGCGAGUGGCAGAUACAGCAUUGAAUACAGACCAAGAUCCAUGUAUGGACUGUAUGCAACCAUCAUACAGCUGACCAAGUCAGACACAGGACGAUACAGGUGUGGUUAUGGAAACCCUCUGUCUCCAGAUUUAUACAGCAGUGUAAAUGUUCUCGUCAUUGAUGGUAAGUAUCUUUUCAGAAUAGUAAAAACUUUUUUCAUAUUUCAUGUAGCUUAAAAUACUACUAAUAAUAGAUAAUCACAACUCAGAAAGUAAGGUAAACAAAAUUAGAACAACAACAAAUAAAAACAUGAAACUUUUGGUGAUUUGAGGUGAGAUUGUUGUUACUGCCAGAGAUCAGCUGAUGUUUGAGACAUCAUUAAAUAUUUCUAACAUCAAAAACAGGACAAAUAAUGUCCAUACUUUUCUGGAUGUCCGAUCUCAGAGUAUUAAUUUCCUGUUGUGCUGAUAAAUUUAUUCCUGUUUAUUCACAAAUAUAAACCAUAUUUGUUAUGAUGCUUUUAAAAAUAUACAGAUAUUUAAAUAUAGUAAGUUUCACAGUCAUAAUGUGCACUGAGGAUUUUUAAUCAGAGCACAUAUUAUAUAUGAAACAUCAUUUUUUAUAUUAUUAAAAGUUUUUUAACAAUUUGAAAUCUAAGGUUAUGUGUGUUUAAGAAGUGUGUGCUCUACUUUGAAUCAUUUUUUAAAGUUGUGAUUGUGGAGCUAAAAUUGAGGGGAAAACAUCAUCAUCAUCAUCUUUCACUAAAGCUGAGUGUUUCUACUCAUACAGGUGAAAACAUAUGUAGUGUGCAGGAUAUGAGAUUCCCCAGUCUAAUGUGUAAAAGAGUAUUAGCUUAUCCAUCAGCUGAUCUGAUGAGACUGAACGUGACUUUGUGGUUUAUCUGAAAAAGUAAUAAUGAUGUAAAGAACAGGAAAGCAGGCAGCUGAGUGAUUACAGAUCUUCCCUAUUGAACUUACACAUAAGCUUCAUGUUAAUGCUGCAUUUAGUGAAUGUGAGAGUGAAUGAAUAAUGGCAUUGUAAAGCGCUUUGGGUGCCUUGAAAAGCGCUAUAUGAAAUCCAAUCCAUUAUUAUUAUAUUUUUGUGUUUGUUGUUCACAGAUUCAAACCCACCUGCUUCCACACCACAAACAGCAACACAGAGUGAAAGUGUCACUGCAGGAGUCUCUACACAUGGUCCUGACUCCUCCUGGCUUCUGGUUGUGCGUGCGUCCUUGGAUGGUGUUUUGCUGAUGGCUGUUUUCCUCAUGCUCUUCUACAUUAGUAAGACAAGGAGGAACUUUGGACUGAACACCAGAGAAAAUGACACAAACAUGGAGGUGAGUUUGUGUCACUUGUUUUCUGUCUGUUGUUGCAGGUUUCAGUGAGUGUUGUUGAUUCAUGCUGUCAGUUUGACUUUCUCAGUGAAAUGUAGUGAAAAGAGGUGAUGUUACCUGUUAUUAAAGUUUCCUUAAUAAUACCAUCUUCACCAGCAGAGGGAAGUGAAGACAAAGUGAACAAUAUUUAGACCAGACAGAAAUAUUUUCUAUAAUUAUGUAGAUAUAAAACCAUACAACAUAUUUUAUGGUCCUUUAAGGUUAUUCCACAGCAUCAUAAUUUCAUGAUGUCAUAUCUAAAAGUGUGAAAGCACCUUUAGUUCUGUUUCCUGACACUGCAGCACAUGUAAGCUGCUCUGAAGCAAAUCUGUUGAACUUCUUAUGAUAUUUAUAAUGUUACAUGUUUUUGUUUGUUUGUUUCUCUGGAAUAAACUUUGUGCUUCUUAUUG
Long non-coding RNA from Oreochromis niloticus (Nile tilapia), 2361 nucleotides. NCBI's taxonomy places the organism in Eukaryota, Metazoa, Chordata, Actinopteri, Cichliformes, Cichlidae. The record is from Ensembl.